UUACGGUCAUAUUACGUUGAAAGACCGGUGUUCAUAUGAUCACUGAAGUUAAGCAACGUCGAUCCAGGUUAGUACCUUGAUGGGUGACUGAUUGGGAAUACCAUGUGCUGUA
RNAcentral lists this ribosomal RNA (112 nucleotides) under Acanthosepion pharaonis. The record is from RNAcentral. Lineage: Eukaryota; Metazoa; Mollusca; Cephalopoda; Sepiida; Sepiidae.